RNAcentral lists this ribosomal RNA (139 nucleotides) under uncultured Staphylococcus sp. RNAcentral describes it as "partial 16S ribosomal RNA". It matches the Rfam family "Bacterial small subunit ribosomal RNA", at positions 334 to 473 of the family's 1533-position model. Lineage: Bacteria; Bacillati; Bacillota; Bacilli; Caryophanales; Staphylococcaceae. The record is from RNAcentral.
UACUCCUACGGGAGGCAGCAGUAGGGAAUCUUCCGCAAUGGGCGAAAGCCUGACGGAGCAACGCCGCGUGAGUGAUGAAGGGUUUCGGCUCGUAAAACUCUGUUAUUAGGGAAGAACAAAUGUGUAAGUAACUGUGCAC